RNAcentral lists this ribosomal RNA (57 nucleotides) under Caridina sp. FB-27. RNAcentral's name for it is "partial 12S ribosomal RNA". Lineage: Eukaryota; Metazoa; Arthropoda; Malacostraca; Decapoda; Atyidae. The record is from RNAcentral.
UCAAGGGUGAGAUAGUCGUACAAGGNNAGACGGACCGGAAGGUGCUUCUAGAAUUAA